CAGAUUGUAGCUUAUAUUAAAGUUUAUUAUUUACGUUAAUUUGAAAACUCUUGUUCUUUCUGA
Molecule: transfer RNA, 63 nt
Filed under: Entylia carinata
Lineage: Eukaryota; Metazoa; Arthropoda; Insecta; Hemiptera; Membracidae
Description: tRNA-Val
Source: RNAcentral